This is a long non-coding RNA of Phyllostomus discolor (pale spear-nosed bat), 214 nucleotides long. RefSeq lists it as uncharacterized. NCBI's taxonomy places the organism in Eukaryota, Metazoa, Chordata, Mammalia, Chiroptera, Phyllostomidae. The record is from RefSeq and is a predicted model, not a curated record. The transcript is spliced from 3 exons.
UUUCUCCGUUAUCAAAAUAAACUGAUAUUUAGUAAAGAUUUUUUAAAAAUAUAUUGCUAACUGUAAUUUUUCACAAUUGUGGGCAACUUUUUCAGGUAAAAAGAAUGCAGCUUACCUAUUCAAGGAAGUAGUAAAAUGGUAAAGCUUGUUAUGUUGUGUUCUCAAAGGGUUAAUAAUAAGUUCUGGCUUCUUUCUUUUAAUUUUCUGAAAGAGC